GCAUGUAAAGGCAGUCUGGCUGCAACAUCUGUCACCCCACUGUUCACCAGGAUUGAUUCGACUGAUUGGUCUAGCUAGGUAGGUCCUUCUUCUCCCUCAUUACUCCAUUUGUGAACCCCCNAAAGCUGUGCACCCAGUGGAAGAGGGCAACCACCCCAGAUAAAAGGAGUGUAUCAUUCUUCAGGUAUAUUAUAGCAGUGCUGCCCUGCUAGAACUUCUAAACGAACAACAAAGGGACUUUUCCUGGACCCAUACAAUUAGUUUGUGCUCAUUUUUUGUAAAUAGAAGAAGAAGCAGCUAUAUUCCCUU
RNAcentral lists this small nuclear RNA (309 nucleotides) under Salvator merianae (Argentine black and white tegu). RNAcentral's name for it is "7SK RNA (ENSSMRG00000002356.1)". The stretch from base 1 to 273 matches the Rfam family "7SK RNA". From Rfam's summary of the family: 7SK was discovered as an abundant small nuclear RNA in the mid-70s but a possible function has only recently been suggested. Two independent studies have found that 7SK RNA binds the CDK9/cyclin T complex (known as elongation factor P-TEFb). The record is from RNAcentral. Lineage: Eukaryota; Metazoa; Chordata; Lepidosauria; Squamata; Teiidae.